This 433-nucleotide ribosomal RNA is filed under the name uncultured Anaerovorax sp. RNAcentral's name for it is "bacterial SSU rRNA". It matches the Rfam family "Bacterial small subunit ribosomal RNA", at positions 341 to 792 of the family's 1533-position model. Lineage: Bacteria; Bacillati; Bacillota; Clostridia; Peptostreptococcales; Anaerovoracaceae. The record is from RNAcentral.
ACGGAAGGCAGCAGUGGGGAAUAUUGCACAAUGGGGGAAACCCUGAUGCAGCAACGCCGCGUGAAGGAUGAAGGCCCUUGGGUCGUAAACUUCUGUUCUAAGGGAAGAUGAUGACGGUACCUUAGGAGCAAGUCCCGGCUAACUACGUGCCAGCAGCCGCGGUAAUACGUAGGGGGCAAGCGUUAUCCGGAAUUAUUGGGCGUAAAGAGUACGUAGGCGGUUUCCUAAGCAUGGGGUUUAAGGCAAUGGCCUAACCAUUGUUCGCCCCAUGAACUGGGUUACUUGAGUGCUGGAGAGGAAAGCGGAAUUCCUAGUGUAGCGGUGAAAUGCGUAGAUAUUAGGAGGAACACCAGUGGCGAAGGCGGCUUUCUGGACAGUAACUGACGUUGAGGCUCGAAAGCGUGGGGAGCAAACAGGAUUAGAUACCCUGGUA